AAGUAUUAAUCCAUCAGUAAAUUCUUUCUUUCUGUGUGUUUUGUGCGACGGGCAGGAAGCAGAAGAAAACAAGCGCCCUGGUUUCUCUCCUCGUUGCGCACAGGAGACAAGCCUGCGGUGGCGAGUCGCGCGUGAAGGUAGGGCGAGGGAAUACGGGCGAUGCCGCGAUCGCCCCGCCGGUCCGUCGCCGUCGCCUUUGCCUUUAUAUGGGGAAAGAGGCCUUCGUGGGUGGCGUCCGUCGCUGGUUCCACCGCCGCAUCGCCAGCGCCUCAUCCGUGAGCCAAGAACAGGACGAAGAGGAGGAGGAGGAGAAGAAACGGGAUCAGAGUUAUCGAGGACUCUGGCAUUUCUAGUCUUGGAUUCCUCAGGUUCCCCAGGUGGCCGCCAUGGAUCCCCACAAGAAGAAUAUGCUUGAGACUGAAUUCUUCACGGAGUACGGUGAAGCGAGCCGAUAUCAGAUGCAAGAGGUCGUCGGCAAGGGAAGCUAUGGGGUAGUCGGGGCUGCGAUAGACACCCAUACUGGAGAGAGGGUGGCGAUCAAGAAGAUCAAUGAUGUGUUUGAGCAUGUUUCUGAUGCCACUCGCAUUCUCAGGGAAAUCAAAUUGCUUAGGCUGCUUCGCCACCCUGAUAUUGUAGAAAUUAAGCAUAUAAUGCUUCCCCCAUCUAGGAGGGAAUUUAAAGACAUUUAUGUUGUUUUUGAGCUGAUGGAAUCAGACCUUCAUCAAGUUAUAAAGGCAAAUGAUGAUCUCACACCUGAACACCACCAGUUCUUCUUAUACCAGCUACUUCGAGCUAUGAAGUAUAUUCAUUCAGCUAAUGUAUUUCAUCGGGAUUUAAAGCCAAAAAAUAUCCUUGCCAAUGCGGAUUGCAAAUUAAAAGUUUGUGACUUUGGCCUUGCCCGUGUAUCAUUUAAUGAUGCCCCGUCAGCUAUUUUCUGGACUGAUUAUGUGGCAACAAGAUGGUAUCGUGCUCCUGAAUUAUGUGGCUCCUUUUUCUCCAAGUACACCCCUGCGAUUGAUGUUUGGAGCAUAGGCUGCAUAUUUGCAGAAAUGCUUACAGGGAAACCAUUGUUUCCUGGCAAGAAUGUGGUGCAUCAGUUAGAUCUCAUGACUGAUCUGCUUGGAACUCCUUCACCUGAAUCCAUUGCUAGGAUUCGAAAUGAAAAGGCUAGAAGAUAUUUAAGUAAUAUGCGCAAAAAACCACCAGUUCCUUUCUCACAAAAGUUUCCUGGUGUGGAUCCUUUGGCUCUUCGUUUGCUUGAGCACCUACUUGCAUUUGAUCCUAAAGAUCGACCAACCGCUGAAGAGGCACUAGCGGAUCCAUACUUUAAUAAUCUGUCAAAUGUUGAGCGCGAACCUUCAACACAGCCUAUAUCAAAACUUGAAUUUGAGUUUGAAAGGAGGAAAUUGUCAAAAGAUGAUGUAAGAGAGCUAAUUUAUCGAGAGAUAUUGGAGUAUCAUCCUCAGAUGCUGCAGGAGUAUCUACGUGGUGCAGAUCAGACUAACUUUAUGUACCCAAGUGGUGUUGAUCGUUUUAAGCGACAAUUUACUCAUCUUGAAGAACACUUUGGUAAGGGUGAAAGAAGCACUCCGCUUGGGCGGCAACAUGCAUCCUUGCCCAGGGAGAGGGUGGGCGCAAAUAAAGAUGAGAUCCCUGAUCAAAAUAAUGACUUUGAAAAGCAAAGUGCAGAUUCCGUUGCUCGUGGUACACUUGAAAGCCUCCCAAAGUCACAGCAGAGUGAGAGAUUAGAUCAUGCAUCAGUUACAGAUGGCACAAACAGGCCAAAUUACAAUGCUCGUAGCUUGUUGAAGAGUGCUAGCAUCAGCGCUUCCAAGUGUGUAGUUGUCAAAGGAAGGAAGGAUUCAGAAGUGGAAGUGAUAUGCUUGUUCCCACUGAUGGCUAAUUCACAGUCAAGGUUGUUUAGAAGUCUUUCUCUGGGCUAUCUACCCUUCCAGAUAGAUGAAGACAAAACAACCUUGGACUAAUGGCAGCUUUUUGUGUGUGUGUGUGGUUCUGUGUUCCAUGAUGAAUUAAUAUGAGUCUUCAUUUCUGACACAAUUAAUGGACUUCAGCAAACUUUUCCCAGCCAAAUUCUAAGAGAGAGAAAAAAGCAAAAGGAUGAGCAAUUCAUAAAAAUUCUUCUGUUAUGCAAGCGACGCUCAACUGCUUCAUGCUUUCUACCCUGUUCGGUGAUCUUGACAAUUUAACUAUGUUAUUCUAUUAUUUUCUAACUUCCUAAUGAGCAGUAUCAGAAAUUUCAUGUCCAUAUUGGCAGAAUUAUUUCGAACUGCUCGAUUCGGCGUGUAUUGAGCCGUACCGACGGUGGACUAGGAGGAACCGAUUUCUGAGAACACAGAAGAGAAGGCCGAUGGCUUGUCCCAAAAGGUAGCCGAAUUGUAUGCCUAACAACCGGAAAGUUAUGAGAAUACAUAGGUGGAAGAUUAGUCAAGAUUAGGAUGUAAGCCCUGAACUCCAAGUUUCAGGUCAGAUCAUCUAAGAUUGUUACUAAACAUGGCAUCUUCACUUUUGUUGCUAAUGGGGGUGAAUUAGUUGUUAAUUAUGAUCUGGGGUUGCCUCAGUUCGAUCCCAUAUGUUGUUUUCUCAGUAAUGCUAUAUGUUCGCAUUGUUGCUGGAAGAUUAAUAUCACUUGUCGUGAGCGCAUGCUGCUGGUAUUUGUAUUUUUGAUGGGAAAAAAGUCUACAAAGAAGAAACAUCCUUGGCUGAAUCGCUGAUUGCACUAGUGUAUGUAUGGUUCUCAGCCUCCAUCAGGUUACUGAUGUACUGGAGCUCAUGAUUGUGGACAGGACCCAGUCCUGCCCAGUUCAGGUUUUAAAGCAACAAUGCCCGAGACUCAUGCUGAGUUUUAUUUCCAUUGCAUUAGUUCACCAACUUCCAGCUGAGGAAUAUCAAGAAAAGCCUGCAAUAGUAUUAAUCUUCUGCUUGGCUUGAAACAUUGGAUGGCCCUAUCAAAUUUUACUAUUUCCAAUGUAAUCUUUAAAACAUCAUUCCAUUUAAACAGAAGGGGAAUGUUAAAC
Phoenix dactylifera (date palm) is the source of this 3035-nucleotide non-coding RNA. Lineage: Eukaryota; Viridiplantae; Streptophyta; Magnoliopsida; Arecales; Arecaceae. The record is from RefSeq and is a predicted model, not a curated record.